AUUGAACGCUGGCGGCAGGCCUAACACAUGCAAGUCGAACGAGUGGCGGACGGGUGAGUAAUGUCUGGGAAACUGCCCGCUGGAGGGGGAUAACUACUGGAAACGGUAGCUAAUACCGCAUACCAUCGGAUGUGCCCAGAUGGGAUUAGCUUGUAGGUGAGGUAACGGCUCACCUAGGCGACGAUCCCUAGCUGGUAUGCGAGGAUGACCAGCCACACUGUAGAUGAGAGACGGGCCAGACUCCUACGGGAGUCAGCAGUGGGGAAUAGUGCACGAUGGGUGCAAGCCUGAUGGAGCCAGGCCGCGUGUAUGAAGAAGGCCUGCGGGUUGUAAAGUCCUUUCAGCGGGGAGGCGUUACCCGCAGAAUAAGCACCGGCUAACUCCUUGCCAGCCGCCUCGGUAAUUC
Molecule: ribosomal RNA, 406 nt
Filed under: uncultured bacterium
Lineage: Bacteria
Description: partial 16S ribosomal RNA
Rfam family: Bacterial small subunit ribosomal RNA
Source: RNAcentral